This 378-nucleotide ribosomal RNA is filed under the name uncultured bacterium. RNAcentral describes it as "bacterial SSU rRNA". It matches the Rfam family "Bacterial small subunit ribosomal RNA", at positions 521 to 896 of the family's 1533-position model. The record is from RNAcentral.
UAAUACGUAGGGUGCAAGCGUUGUCCGGAAUUAUUGGGCGUAAAGAGCUCGUAGGUGGUCUGUUGCGUCGGCUGUGAAAACCCGGGGCUCAACCCCGGGCCUGCAGCCGAUACGGGCAGACUAGAGUUCGGCAGGGGAGACUGGAAUUCCUGGUGUAGCGGUGAAAUGCGCAGAUAUCAGGAGGAACACCGGUGGCGAAGGCGGGUCUCUGGGCCGAUACUGACACUGAGGAGCGAAAGCGUGGGGAGCGAACAGGAUUAGAUACCCUGGUAGUCCACGCCGUAAACGUUGGGCGCUAGGUGUGGGUUCCCUUCCACGGGAUCCGUGCCGCAGCUAACGCAUUAAGCGCCCCGCCUGGGGAGUACGGCCGCAAGGCUA